UAUAAGUAUCCACAUUGAUGCAUGCCAUUGAAUUAUAAUAAAUUGAAUGGUUGAAUAAUCAAGAAAGCAAGAUAUUUUCAUUAGCACAUAUAUUUUAAGCUUGAUAAAGAUAGAUCUAAAUAAAGUUUAAGAUUUUUUUAGCAUUAUUGAAUAAAUUAUAUUGUGUGUUUUAAACGUGGCAUUAAAAAACAACAAUAAUAUUACAUUUUAUUUUUAGGUGUCUGAAUAAAUAUGUUUCAAGAUGUUACUUGGCUGAGAUUGUAAGGAAGUCCAAAGUAUUGUGCGGCCUCAUCUACAUCAAAUUAUAAUCGAUAUAAGGGUCAGCAGGGAUGAAAUCGAACUACAUAUUCACACACAUUCAGUACUAGCCUACAUUCUAUAAUGAAGUGGAACACUGAUAAAGGUAUAGUUUAUGGUUUUUAUUUAAAACUGUAUUUUUGAUGACUGCUGUUAGUUAAAACGUCCACUAGAUGGCAUUAUAUGAUCUUGCAUUGCACUAAAACCAGGUAUAUGAGCGUUGCAUUUUGGGAAAUGAAGAUGCUAUGAACGCUAAUGGAGAAAACGCUAACGCUAGCGCGACCUCUUUCAAACCAAAGAAAAACUGACGAGUUCCAGACUGCUCUAAUCAGCGAAUUACAUCUGAGUUCUGUGUGAUUCAAGUGUCUGACAGAAUUGAUGUCAAGGAGGAUUCGGCCUGAUUCAAUGAGGGAUUGAGGACCAAUUUUUUUCAACUUCAGCCAACUGUUGGAGCAUCACCCAAAGCAGAUAAGGUCGUGGAAGAAAAGACGUUAGUUUGACCAAUAAGCUACAUUGUAGCUUAUGACACAAUUGAAGUGGGCGUCAAUUGUUCCUCCGGCUUUUGGCCCAUUUAAAUGGAGGCCAGUAUCCGGACGAGUCCAGGUUACCUGCUGAUAUCGACAAAGAGAAGCACAGGAUAAAUUGCCACUCAGUGACGGUAUGAAUGUGGGUGCCAAUGGUCGUCUGUCUCUUUGUGUACCCUGUGAUUAAUCAUUUCAGCGUGCUGCCCGUCUUCCAUUGCAAGUAUUGGUGGCUCGGUGGUAGAGUUUUCGCACGCUGCGCGGGAACCCCGAGACUGAUGCCCGGGCACGCCGAUGCAUCUUGGGGUAGCCUUUGCAGCUAGCCUCGCAUCGGGGCAACAGUUCCGCUACGACAACGCGAGCAGACCAGGAUAUACGGUGUUGGAAAUGUCCCACACUACAACAAAUCAUUAUUUUAUCCACACUGGUUUGAGUGCAAUAUUGUUGUGGUUGGUUCGUUGUUUAAAAUGUGUAAAAGAAAUAAUGUUUGUUUUGCAUGUGGGAUGAGAAUUCAGUAAAACGGCAUGUGAGGGACUAACUUGUCCCCCCCCUCCACAGUACUUAAGUUACUGAAUAUGUAUAUAAAAAUGGAUCUUAAGCUACUAUACCGAGUGUGGUUUGAUUGUCAAUAUCAGUUUGCAUAUGACUGAUGAAAAAGGUAAAAUUUCAGAUUUGAAGAAGUCCAUUGGAACUGUUUUGAAAUA
This is a long non-coding RNA of Corythoichthys intestinalis (scribbled pipefish), 1522 nucleotides long. RefSeq lists it as uncharacterized. Lineage: Eukaryota; Metazoa; Chordata; Actinopteri; Syngnathiformes; Syngnathidae. The transcript has 4 exons. The record is from RefSeq and is a predicted model, not a curated record.